Choiromyces venosus 120613-1 is the source of this 100-nucleotide non-coding RNA. The record is from the annotation of a GenBank genome assembly. NCBI's taxonomy places the organism in Eukaryota, Fungi, Ascomycota, Pezizomycetes, Pezizales, Tuberaceae.
ACCCGACUGGCGCAAUGGUAGCGCGUCAGUCUUCUAGUUUUCCGGUUUGGUUUGGGAGGAGUUAAUCUGAAGGUUGUGGGUUCGACCCCCACGUUGGGUU